CGUAGGGUGCGAGCGUUUAAAUCGGAAUUACUGGGCGUAAAGCGUGCGCAGGCGGUUUUGUAAGACAGAUGUGAAAUCCCCGGGCUCAACCUGGGACCUGCAUUUGUGACUGCAAGGCUAGAGUACGGUAGAGGGGGAUGGAAUUCCGCGUGUAGCAGUGAAAUGCGUAGAUAUGCGGAGGAACACCGAUGGCGAGGGCAAUCCCCUGGACCUGUACUGACGCUCAUGCACGAAAGCGUGGGGAGCAAACAGGAUUAGAUACCCUGGUAGUCCACGCCCUAAACGAUGUCAACUGGUUGUUGGGUCUUUACUGACUCAGUAACGAAGCUAACGCGUGAAGUUGACCGCCUGGGGAGUACGGCCGCAAGGUUG
Molecule: ribosomal RNA, 372 nt
Filed under: uncultured organism
Description: bacterial SSU rRNA
Rfam family: Bacterial small subunit ribosomal RNA
Source: RNAcentral